CAAGCAUGGUAGUAAAGAAGCAAACAUCCAUAGGAUGAGUAACCAGUACCUAGAGGUCGGCAGCUCACGAAGAACAAUGUCAAGAACCUGCAGAGCUUCCUGUGGGGCAUCUGAUUGUUUCCCCUCCAAAAACAUUCCUAGGUGAUGCAGAUCAGCACGUGCAACUAGCUUGAUCACAACUUUAAAUUCCCUUUCUCGUCU
RNAcentral lists this small RNA (201 nucleotides) under Arabidopsis thaliana (thale cress). RNAcentral's name for it is "ATSL048570". The record is from RNAcentral. Lineage: Eukaryota; Viridiplantae; Streptophyta; Magnoliopsida; Brassicales; Brassicaceae.